AGUGAACGCUGGCGGUAGGCCUAACACAUGCAAGUCGAACGGCAGCACAGUAAGAGCUUGCUCUUACGGGUGGCGAGUGGCGGACGGGUGAGGAAUACAUCGGAAUCUACUUUUUCGUGGGGGAUAACGUAGGGAAACUUACGCUAAUACCGCAUACGACCUACGGGUGAAAGCAGGGGAUUUUCGGACCUUGCGCGAUUGAAUGAGCCGAUGUCGGAUUAGCUAGUUGGCGGGGUAAAGGCCCACCAAGGCGACGAUCCGUAGCUGGUCUGAGAGGAUGAUCAGCCACACUGGAACUGAGACACGGUCCAGACUCCUACGGGAGGCAGCAGUGGGGAAUAUUGGACAAUGGGCGCAAGCCUGAUCCAGCCAUACCGCGUGGGUGAAGAAGGCCUUCGGGUUGUAAAGCCCUUUUGUUGGGAAAGAAAAGCAGCAGGUUAAUACCCCGCUGUUCUGACGGUACCCAAAGAAUAAGCACCCGCUAACUUCGUG
Molecule: ribosomal RNA, 492 nt
Filed under: uncultured bacterium
Lineage: Bacteria
Description: partial 16S ribosomal RNA
Rfam family: Bacterial small subunit ribosomal RNA
Source: RNAcentral